CAGCCGCCGCGGUAAAACCAGCACCUCAAGUGGUCAGGAUGAUUAUUGGGCCUAAAGCAUCCGUAGCCGGCUCUGUAAGUUUUCGGUUAAAUCUGUAUGCUCAACAUACAGGCUGCCGGGAAUACUGCAGAGCUAGGGAGUGGGAGAGGUAGACGGUACUCGGUAGGAAGGGGUAAAAUCCUUUGAUCUAUUGAUGACCACCUGUGGCGAAGGCGGUCUACCAGAACACGUCCGACGGUGAGGGAUGAAAGCUGGGGGAGCAAACCGGAUUAGAUACCCGGGUAGUCCCAGCUGUAAACUAUGCAAGCUCAGUGAUGCAUUGGCUUGUGGCCAAUGCAGUGCUGCAGGGAAGCCGUUAAGUUUGCCGCCUGGGAAGUACGUACGCAAGUAUGAAACUUAAAGGAAUUGGCGGGGGAGCAC
RNAcentral lists this ribosomal RNA (420 nucleotides) under uncultured Nitrososphaerota archaeon. RNAcentral describes it as "bacterial SSU rRNA". It matches the Rfam family "Archaeal small subunit ribosomal RNA", at positions 459 to 879 of the family's 1478-position model. Lineage: Archaea; Thermoproteati; Nitrososphaerota. The record is from RNAcentral.